AUUGAACGCUAGCGGCAGGCUUUACACAUGCAAGUCGAACGAGUGGCGGACGGGUGAGUAAUAUAUAGGAACGUGCCCAGUAGCGGGGGAUAACUACUCGAAAGAGUGGCUAAUACCGCAUACUAUCGGAGCGGCCGAUAUUGGAUUAGCUAGUCGGUGGGGGAAAGGCUCACCAAGGCAACGAUGCGUAGCUGGUCUGAGAGGACGACCAGCCACACUGGGACUGAGACACGGCCCAGACUCCUACGGGAGGCAGCAGUGGGGAAUUUUGGACAAUGGGGGAAACCCUGAUCCAGCCAUCCCGCGUGUAUGAGAAGGCCUUCGGGUUGUAAAGUACUUUUGGCAGAGAAGCGGUAUCUGCAGAAUAAGCACCGGCUAACUCCGUGCCAGCAGCCGCGGUAAUAC
This 405-nucleotide ribosomal RNA is filed under the name uncultured bacterium. RNAcentral's name for it is "partial 16S ribosomal RNA". It matches the Rfam family "Bacterial small subunit ribosomal RNA", at positions 30 to 526 of the family's 1533-position model. The record is from RNAcentral.